UACAGAGGGGGCAAGCGUUGUUCGGAAUUACUGGGCGUAAAGGGUGCGUAGGCGGGUCUUUAAGUCAGGGGUGAAAUCCUGGAGCUCAACUCCAGAACUGCCUUUGAUACUGAGGAUCUUGAGUACGGGAGAGGUGAGUGGAACUGCGAGUGUAGAGGUGAAAUUCGUAGAUAUUCGCAAGAACACCAGUGGCGAAGGCGGCUCACUGGCCCGUAACUGACGCUGAGGCACGAAAGCGUGGGGAGCAAACAGG
RNAcentral lists this ribosomal RNA (253 nucleotides) under uncultured bacterium. Its description in RNAcentral is "partial 16S ribosomal RNA". It matches the Rfam family "Bacterial small subunit ribosomal RNA", at positions 524 to 776 of the family's 1533-position model. The record is from RNAcentral.